This 228-nucleotide unclassified non-coding RNA is filed under the name Hevea brasiliensis (rubber tree). Lineage: Eukaryota; Viridiplantae; Streptophyta; Magnoliopsida; Malpighiales; Euphorbiaceae. The record is from RNAcentral.
AAACAUAACAAAAAUAGGAUUAAUCUUGUUCAGUUGCUUGUUCUAUGGGUUUUCAGGAAAUAACUUCUAUGAACAAAUCCUUUGAGCUUAUGUUUAGGCAUAUCAUUUGAUGAAAGACUGUUGUGAUUAUAUCACCCUGUAGAGGGACUUGCUGAGAAGUAACCUUAGUAAGGAGUUAACUUCAUAAGAAUUAUUUACAAGCAGCCUAGAGGAUAAUACUGCUUGGGA